AAUGGCAUCUAUAUUCUCUACACCUCCCUUUCCUCAAACACAGACAGAACUAAUCAAGUUAACUUCCUAAGGAAAACAAACACAGGGCAGGCUUGAAUUCUCUGUCUGAAACAAUUUCUUAACUCCCGUGAUUGUGAAAGCAGUGGCAUCCAGGCAGUUGGAACUCCAGGCAAAGCAAGAUUAGUAAAGACCAAUGAACACGAUACCUGUGGUAUCAAGAGGAAGAGGUGUGUUUUGUUUCCAGCUGCAGAUUUGAUGGCAGAAGAAAACACA
Myotis brandtii (Brandt's bat) is the source of this 273-nucleotide long non-coding RNA. RefSeq lists it as uncharacterized. NCBI's taxonomy places the organism in Eukaryota, Metazoa, Chordata, Mammalia, Chiroptera, Vespertilionidae. The transcript is spliced from 4 exons. The record is from RefSeq and is a predicted model, not a curated record.